Molecule: ribosomal RNA, 657 nt
Filed under: Malassezia furfur
Lineage: Eukaryota; Fungi; Basidiomycota; Malasseziomycetes; Malasseziales; Malasseziaceae
Description: partial 26S ribosomal RNA
Rfam family: Eukaryotic large subunit ribosomal RNA
Source: RNAcentral
CCUAUUAUGAUGGAGGUCGGGGGACUCCCCCUUUUUACAAGGGAUUCCCCUAGUAACGGCGAGUGAAGAGGGAAGAGCUCAAAUUUGAAAGCUGGUACCUUCGGUAUUCGCGUUGUAACCUCGAGASMCGUYUKYCUWRYGGSRCWAUGKACAAGUYCYUKGGAACAGGACAUYGUAGAGGGUGAAAAUCCCGUACUUGCCAUGGAUGUACCGUGCUUUGCGAUACGUGCUCUWAGAGUCGAGUUGUUUGGGAUUGCAGCUCAAAAUGGGUGGUAGACUCCAUCUAAAGCUAAAUAUCGGGGAGAGACCGAUAGCGAACAAGUACCGUGAGGGAAAGAUGAAAAGCACUUUGGAAAGAGAGUUAAAAGUACGUGAAAUUGUCGAAAGGGAAGCGCUUGAAGUCAGCCAUGCCGCUCAGGACUCAGCCUGGCUUUUGCUUGGUGUAUUUCCUGGGUAGCAAGUCAGCAUUGGUUUGGAUCGUCGGAGAAGCAUAGUCGGAAUGUGGCUGCRCMCWYGGGSGUGYUAUAGCCUUCUAUUGGAUACGACGAUAUAGACCAAGGAACGCAGCGCGCCUUAUGGCGGGUCUUCGGACACCUUCGCGCUUAGGAUGCUGGGGCAUAAUACAGUGAGGGGUUGUCGCCUCCCUUCUAAGGGGGG